GCACCUGUAGUUCAACGGAUAGAACAUUUGGUUGCGGACCAAAAGAUUGGAGGUUCAAUUCCUCCCAGGUGCA
This 73-nucleotide transfer RNA is filed under the name Patescibacteria group bacterium. Its description in RNAcentral is "tRNA-Arg". It matches the Rfam family "tRNA". Rfam says of the family: Transfer RNA (tRNA) molecules are approximately 80 nucleotides in length. Their secondary structure includes four short double-helical elements and three loops (D, anti-codon, and T loops). The record is from RNAcentral.